AACUUUUGACAACGGAUCUCUUGGCUCUCGCAUCGAUGAAGAACGCAGCGAAAUGCGAUACGUAAUGUGAAUUGCAGAAUUCAGUGAAUCAUCGAAUCUUUGAACGCACCUUGCGCCCCUUGGCAUUCCGAGGGGCACACCCGUUUGAGUGUCAUUGUACUCUCACACUCCUCUGAUCCUUUGGAUUCGGGGAGCGGUGGACUUGGGUGUUUGCUGCUUUCCUUGUGGCUCACCUUAAAUGCGUCAGUGCACCUCUUGGUUGGACAUAGUACGGCGUGAUAAGUGUCUUCGCCGGCACCUCGCAAGAGGGUGGCCGAUCGAGAGCUCUGUGCUUUCAAACCGUCUUCGGACACUUUCUGACAACUUGACCUCAAAUCGAGUAGGACUACCCGCUGAACUUAAGCAUAUCAAUAAGCGGAGGCU
RNAcentral lists this unclassified non-coding RNA (423 nucleotides) under uncultured Sebacinaceae. Its description in RNAcentral is "sequence contains ITS2". The stretch from base 1 to 154 matches the Rfam family "5.8S ribosomal RNA". Lineage: Eukaryota; Fungi; Basidiomycota; Agaricomycetes; Sebacinales; Sebacinaceae. The record is from RNAcentral.